GNCCUUUAAACAUCGNCCACGAUGCCCUAUAUUCCUCGUGUCAGCUUGCUGACUAUGGCGAUAAACGCGCUCGUAAUAACCAGACCGGACCCGGGGGCAGUACCCGGCGGCUCCACCAUUACCUUCCGCUUGUAUUGGCAAGCGAAUAUGGGGCCGAAACAGGAUCGACGGAUGGGUAAAGGAGACUGCUUUUGCCCGGGUGAGGCCCGAUACAGGCUCAUUCUUAAAGUUGCCAAUGACAACUUUGCUGAAGAAGUCCGUCUCGCUGCCUAGUCAGCGCGUCUAACUUCGACAUGAACUCCUGGGUGUUCGCACGCUCAGGCGGGGUCCGGAGGCACCUGGCAACAGAAGCCUCCACU
RNAcentral lists this transfer-messenger RNA (359 nucleotides) under metagenome. RNAcentral describes it as "sequence Alphaproteobacteria transfer-messenger RNA". It matches the Rfam family "Alphaproteobacteria transfer-messenger RNA". From Rfam's summary of the family: Bacterial tmRNA, also known as 10Sa RNA or SsrA, is named for its dual tRNA and mRNA-like properties. The record is from Rfam by way of RNAcentral.